This is a long non-coding RNA of Anopheles gambiae (African malaria mosquito), 1174 nucleotides long. RefSeq lists it as uncharacterized. Lineage: Eukaryota; Metazoa; Arthropoda; Insecta; Diptera; Culicidae. The transcript is spliced from 2 exons. The record is from RefSeq and is a predicted model, not a curated record.
UGCAACGCGAAGCGCCAGAUCGGGCCAGUGUAAAAAAAAAAACAACUCUCCUUUAAAAGGGCAUUUUGUUAAUCUCUUCAUCAGUGUCACGCAAGCAAAGAGGCCACACCUCCUCCACCGCCACACACCUGGCGGCCCUGGGAGCGGCGUUUGUACUGAGGCUGGUGUCGUUUUUGUUGUGUGGCAAGGCGACCCAAGAUUCAUCUCGGGUUCAUCUUAACUGCGCAUUAAACCUGCGGUACACUCUCGGCGUGGGCGGCUGUCAAUGUAAAAUUGUUUUAAAUUACCGGUGUCAUUCGCUCGGCCGCACGGAACACACGGCUCAAAUUCUGCGCCACAAAACGUGGCUCCGUUGCUAGAGCGACGCGACCGACCGGAAACUCGCGCGUCACACAACGCUCGUCAUAUCGUCCGGCCGACGUCAGCGGUGCGGUGUGGCAGGCUUAGAUUGCAAUCUAAUUACACCAAAGUGUCUGGGAGGCAUGUGUGGCGCGUGUGUAUGGCUGUGUCUGGUGGGAAAUGAACACAACAGUAUCGCCGUAUCGUAUCACACGCUGGGUGGGUGUAACAGUAGUCGCAAGUGGAGGAGCGCGUAAAAACCCCUAGGAAGGGGUGAAAAAUCCCAGAAUCGUAGAAUUUACCUUAGAUAUACCUUUCCUGCUAUCUUCUAAGCUAUACAGUUCAAGUGUUGGUUUUGUCGGAAUUUAUGCAGCAGAGUGAUUGAACUAUUCUUUUUUGAAGACGGUCUAUUUAAAUGUACUUAAAUAAUGUAUACGACCAUCCAACUUAAUUCAAUUUGUUUCUUUUGAUUUUUGAUAGUAUCUGCGCACUUCGAAUUGAAAGUCACAUGUUGCACGUAAAACAGUGAAUGAAAUGUGCUCUCUGCUCGGCGUCCCAUAUGGAACAAAGCAAAAACCAAUGCCUGAUAACAGUUUGCCAAUCAAUAACAGAUUUCUUAUCACCAGCCAAACCUGCUGACACAGUGAGUAAAAUUAGAUUACGGCUCGCACAACGAUCACACCACCAUCUGGCACCAUCACAAAGUAAAGUAAAAAAAGCUUUGUUAUCUUAAUACUACGCAAACAGUUUUAAACCAAUCAUGAAUCGACAAAUCCAUAGGCUAAACGUGUAAAAGACGUAAAACGAACAAAAACAAAAGAAAAUAAAAAAGAAA